CAGAGGGGGCAAGCGUUGUUCGGAAUUACUGGGCGUAAAGGGCGCGUAGGCGGCCCGCUAAGUCGAACGUGAAAUCCCCGAGCUCAACUCGGGAACUGCGUCCGAUACUGGUGGGCUUGAAUCCGGGAGAGGGAUGCGGAAUUCCAGGUGUAGCGGUGAAAUGCGUAGAUAUCUGGAGGAACACCGGUGGCGAAGGCGGCAUCCUGGACCGGCAUUGACGCUGAGGCGCGAAAGCUAGGGGAGCAAACGGGAUUAGAUACCCCGGUAGUCCUAGCCCUAAACGAUGAAUGCUUGGUGUGGCGGGUAUCGAUCCCUGCCGUGCCGAAGCUAACGCAUUAAGCAUUCCGCCUGGGGAGUACGGUCGCAAGGCUG
Molecule: ribosomal RNA, 372 nt
Filed under: uncultured organism
Description: bacterial SSU rRNA
Rfam family: Bacterial small subunit ribosomal RNA
Source: RNAcentral